ACAGAAAAAGGGAAUGAAGUUCUCCCUCGGGUAACCGGAACUGCUUAUAAAGCUGAUGACUUCUACGAUAUU
Molecule: non-coding RNA, 72 nt
Organism: Clostridium sp. CAG:127
Lineage: Bacteria; Bacillati; Bacillota; Clostridia; Eubacteriales; Clostridiaceae
Source: Rfam